This 497-nucleotide ribosomal RNA is filed under the name uncultured bacterium. Its description in RNAcentral is "partial 16S ribosomal RNA". It matches the Rfam family "Bacterial small subunit ribosomal RNA", at positions 28 to 507 of the family's 1533-position model. The record is from RNAcentral.
GAUGAACGCUGGCGGCGUGCCUAAUACAUGCAAGUCGAGCGAACAGACGAGGAGCUUGCUCCUCUGACGUUAGCGGCGGACGGGUGAGUAACACGUGGAUAACCUACCUAUAAGACUGGGAUAACUUCGGGAAACCGGAGCUAAUACCGGAUAAUAUAUUGAACCGCAUGGUUCAAUAGUGAAAGACGGUUUUGCUGUCACUUAUAGAUGGAUCCGCGCCGCAUUAGCUAGUUGGUAAGGUAACGGCUUACCAAGGCAACGAUGCGUAGCCGACCUGGGAGGAUGAUCGGCCACACUGGAACUGAGACACGGUCCAGACUCCUACGGGAGGCAGCAGUAGGGAAUCUUCCGCAAUGGGCGAAAGCCUGACGGAGCAACGCCGCGUGAGUGAUGAAGGUCUUCGGAUCGUAAAACUCUGUUAUUAGGGAAGAACAAAUGUGUAAGUAACUAUGCACGUCUUGACGGUACCUAAACAGAAAGCCACGGCUAACUACGUG